Molecule: ribosomal RNA, 274 nt
Filed under: uncultured bacterium
Lineage: Bacteria
Description: partial 16S ribosomal RNA
Rfam family: Bacterial small subunit ribosomal RNA
Source: RNAcentral
AUACGGAGGGGGCUAGCGUUGUUCGGAAUUACUGGGCGUAAAGCGCACGUAGGCGGCGCACGCAGUCAGAGGUGAAAGGCCUGGGCUCAACCCAGGAACUGCCUUUGAUACUGGUGUGCUAGAGUCCGGGAGAGGGUAGCGGAAUUCCCAGUGUAGAGGUGAAAUUCGUAGAUAUUGGGAAGAACACCGGUUGCGAAGGCGGCUACCUGGACCGGUACUGACGCUGAGGUGCGAAAGCGUGGGGAGCAAACAGGAUUAGAAACCCUAGUAGUCC